UCGGCCCCGAUCAAGACCAGUCGCUUGCAGUAGCUGCUGGUUUCAAAGGGCGCCUACAUGAACUCCUUCCUGUGGUCUGUUGAUUUCUCCCAGAGAAACAAAGGAGCUAAUCAUUUCAGUUGGAAGGAACACAA
RNAcentral lists this small nucleolar RNA (134 nucleotides) under Cottoperca gobio. The record is from RNAcentral. Lineage: Eukaryota; Metazoa; Chordata; Actinopteri; Perciformes; Bovichtidae.